This 1453-nucleotide ribosomal RNA is filed under the name Vibrio parahaemolyticus. RNAcentral describes it as "partial 23S ribosomal RNA". It matches the Rfam family "Bacterial large subunit ribosomal RNA", at positions 1517 to 2925 of the family's 2925-position model. Lineage: Bacteria; Pseudomonadati; Pseudomonadota; Gammaproteobacteria; Vibrionales; Vibrionaceae. The record is from RNAcentral.
UGCGUAGGCUUAAGAGUUAGGUAAAUCCGGCUCUUUUUAAGGCUGAGACACGACGUCGAGCUACUACGGUAGUGAAGUCAUUGAUGCCAUGCUUCCAGGAAAAGCCUCUAAGCUUCAGAUUGUAAGGAAUCGUACCCCAAACCGACACAGGUGGUCGGGUAGAGAAUACCAAGGCGCUUGAGAGAACUCGGGUGAAGGAACUAGGCAAAAUGGUACCGUAACUUCGGGAGAAGGUACGCUCUUGAUGGUGAAGUCCCUUGCGGAUGGAGCUGACGAGAGUCGCAGAUACCAGGUGGCUGCAACUGUUUAUUAAAAACACAGCACUGUGCAAAAUCGUAAGAUGACGUAUACGGUGUGACGCCUGCCCGGUGCCGGAAGGUUAAUUGAUGGGGUUAGACUUCGGUCGAAGCUCUUGAUCGAAGCCCCGGUAAACGGCGGCCGUAACUAUAACGGUCCUAAGGUAGCGAAAUUCCUUGUCGGGUAAGUUCCGACCUGCACGAAUGGCGUAAUGAUGGCCACGCUGUCUCCACCCGAGACUCAGUGAAAUUGAAAUCGCUGUGAAGAUGCAGUGUACCCGCGGCUAGACGGAAAGACCCCGUGAACCUUUACUACAGCUUGGCACUGAACAUUGACCCUACAUGUGUAGGAUAGGUGGGAGGCUUUGAAGCACGUACGCCAGUAUGUGUGGAGCCGUCCUUGAAAUACCACCCUUGUAGUGUUGAUGUUCUAACGUCGACCCCUUAUCGGGGUUGCGGACAGUGCCUGGUGGGUAGUUUGACUGGGGCGGUCUCCUCCCAAAGAGUAACGGAGGAGCACGAAGGUGGGCUAAUCACGGUUGGACAUCGUGAGGUUAGUGCAAUGGCAUAAGCCCGCUUGACUGCGAGAAUGACAAUUCGAGCAGGUGCGAAAGCAGGUCAUAGUGAUCCGGUGGUUCUGAAUGGAAGGGCCAUCGCUCAACGGAUAAAAGGUACUCCGGGGAUAACAGGCUGAUACCGCCCAAGAGUUCAUAUCGACGGCGGUGUUUGGCACCUCGAUGUCGGCUCAUCACAUCCUGGGGCUGAAGUCGGUCCCAAGGGUAUGGCUGUUCGCCAUUUAAAGUGGUACGCGAGCUGGGUUUAGAACGUCGUGAGACAGUUCGGUCCCUAUCUGCCGUGGGCGUUGGAAGAUUGAAGGGGGCUGCUCCUAGUACGAGAGGACCGGAGUGGACGAACCUCUGGUGUUCGGGUUGUGUCGCCAGACGCAUUGCCCGGUAGCUAAGUUCGGAAUCGAUAACCGCUGAAAGCAUCUAAGCGGGAAGCGAGCCCUGAGAUGAGUCUUCCCUGAUACUUUAAGUAUCCUAAAGGGUUGUCGGAGACUACGACGUUGAUAGGUCAGGUGUGUAAGUGCUGUGAGGCAUUGAGCUAACUGAUACUAAUUGCCCGUGAGGCUUAACCAUACAACACCCAAGGGGUUU